CCUACGGGUGGCAGCAGUGAGGAAUAUUGGUCAAUGGGCGCAAGCCUGAACCAGCCAAGUAGCGUGAAGGAUGACUGCCCUACGGGUUGUAAACCUCUUUUAUAAAGGAAUAAAGUGAGGGACGUGUGCUUUUUUGUAUGUACUUUAUGAAUAAGGAUCGGCUAACUCCGUGCCAGCAGCCGCGGUAAUACGGAGGAUCCGAGCGUUAUCCGGAUUUAUUGGGUUUAAAGGGUGCGUAGGUGGCUUUUUAAGUCAGUGGUGAAAGUUUGCGGCUCAACCAUAAAAUUGCAGUUGAUACUGGCAGCCUUGAGUACGGUUGAGGUAGGCGGAAUGCGUGGUGUAGCGGUGAAAUGCUUAGAUAUCACGAAGAACUCCGAUUGCGAAGGCAGCCUACUAAGCUGCCACUGACAUUGAUGCUCGAAAGUGUGGGUAUCAAACAGGAUUAGAUACCCCUGUAGUC
This 460-nucleotide ribosomal RNA is filed under the name uncultured bacterium. RNAcentral's name for it is "partial 16S ribosomal RNA". It matches the Rfam family "Bacterial small subunit ribosomal RNA", at positions 338 to 795 of the family's 1533-position model. The record is from RNAcentral.